CUUGAGGAGAGUGGUUCUGGAAGGGAAAAAAGAGAAGGAAAAGGAAAUGUGACCACCAACACUAGGAAACUGUCUUUUCGUGAGGGCAUUUCCACCUGUCCUGCUCUGAGAAUAUCAGUGCUAUCAGUAGGGCAGAACUCAGACAAGCAUCUUAAUGCAAACAUCGAAGUAACUGAAAUGUGAAGCUGGAAAUCCAGAGAAUUCUCCAAAAGCUUUAAGUAGCUUUUUAGGCUUCAUUCAUGUUGGGCCUAAUGGAUCCUCAAAGGGGAGAAUGGUUUAUCAAAGACAAGCAUUUUAAGUACCUCGUGUUUAUGUGGGUAGCUGGUGUUGAAAACCAAACAGAAGGUAAUGACAGACCACAGCAAGCUGUCUGUUGCUGCAGAUGGAGGAUACCUCUAGGAUUUGGGUCAGAAAACACUUGGCAAGCAUCCCUCUGAAUUCUUCUUGUCACAUGUUGAAGAAGCCUGCUUAGUGGCAGGGGUGAAGAAGGAAGCAGAAAUCUUAAAAUGGCUGCAAUACGAAUUUUUUUUUGUUUUAUUUUUGUUCAGCAUCGGAGCUAUUUACAGCGUAUCUUGCCAAUUUAUUCAUACUGUUGCUGUCAUGGGUUUUCCUGAUUCUCUGCUUUCAGGACCUCCCCCCGCCCCGUGAUCCCAUUUAGGUCUGCAGUGGCAGGAGAAACGAGAGUUACUUAUGCCUCGUUUUAGAAUGGGACCUUGCAGAGAAGGUCUAAGAAGCCAUUUGUUUUCUUUAAACAUAGCUCAGCUUUGCACAGGCACUCACACACAUUCAGACGGUUUCUACUUGAAAUUCCUCAUCCAAUACAAAUAGUUCACAGUCUUGACUGUGGAAAGUGAAGGCGCUCCCCUGAC
Molecule: long non-coding RNA, 869 nt
Filed under: Cyanistes caeruleus (blue tit)
Lineage: Eukaryota; Metazoa; Chordata; Aves; Passeriformes; Paridae
Description: lncRNA (ENSCCEG00000001364.1)
Source: RNAcentral